CAGCUAAACUGCAACCAGAUUCCUGGUCCACACAUACUGUGAGAUAAUAAUAAAUGCUUUUUGUUUUAAGCUGCUAAAGUUUGGAAUCAUUUGCUUUUCAGCAAAGGUAACUAAGACAGGAUCCCAUAAAGGACUCAAGACUCAAGCCUUUUACAUCUUUUGCACCAUCCUGUCUCCUCAACCUCCCAAAUCACUGAGAUUACAGAUGUGA
This 211-nucleotide long non-coding RNA is filed under the name Macaca mulatta (Rhesus monkey). RNAcentral describes it as "lncRNA (ENSMMUG00000056981.1)". The record is from RNAcentral. Lineage: Eukaryota; Metazoa; Chordata; Mammalia; Primates; Cercopithecidae.